Molecule: ribosomal RNA, 138 nt
Filed under: uncultured bacterium
Lineage: Bacteria
Description: partial 16S ribosomal RNA
Rfam family: Bacterial small subunit ribosomal RNA
Source: RNAcentral
CGCUACGGUGAAUACGUUCCCGGACCUUGCACACACCGCCCGUCAAGCCAUGGAAGCCGGGUGUACCUAAAGUCGGUAACCGUAAGGAGCCGCCUAGGGUAAAACCGGUGACUGGGGCUAAGUCGUAACAAGGUACCC